Molecule: ribosomal RNA, 253 nt
Filed under: uncultured bacterium
Lineage: Bacteria
Description: partial 16S ribosomal RNA
Rfam family: Bacterial small subunit ribosomal RNA
Source: RNAcentral
UGCGUAGGGGGCAAGCGUUAUCCGGAUUUACUGGGUGUAAAGGGGGCGCAGACGGCGAUGCAAGCCAGGAGUGAAAGCCCGGGGCCCAACCCCGGGACUGCUCUUGGAACUGCGUGGCUGGAGUGCAGGAGGGGCAGGCGGAAUUCCUGGUGUAGCGGUGAAAUGCGUAGAUAUCAGGAGGAACACCGGUGGCGAAGGCGGCCUGCUGGACUGCAACUGACGUUGAGGCCCGAAAGUGUGGGGAGCAAACAGG